Molecule: ribosomal RNA, 224 nt
Filed under: uncultured Xanthobacter sp.
Lineage: Bacteria; Pseudomonadati; Pseudomonadota; Alphaproteobacteria; Hyphomicrobiales; Xanthobacteraceae
Description: partial 16S ribosomal RNA
Rfam family: Bacterial small subunit ribosomal RNA
Source: RNAcentral
GUGCCAGCCGCUGCGGUAAUACGAAGGGGGCUAGCGUUGCUCGGAAUCACUGGGCGUAAAGCGCACGUAGGCGGAUCGUUAAGUCAGGGGUGAAAUCCUGGGGCUCAACCUCAGAACUGCCCUUGAUACUGGCGAUCUCGAGUUCGAGAGAGGUUGGUGGAACUCCGAGUGUAGAGGUGAAAUUCGUAGAUAUUCGGAAGACACCAGUGGCGAAGGCGGCCAAC